RNAcentral lists this long non-coding RNA (1023 nucleotides) under Gallus gallus (chicken). RNAcentral describes it as "long non-coding RNA NONGGAT006775". Lineage: Eukaryota; Metazoa; Chordata; Aves; Galliformes; Phasianidae. The record is from RNAcentral.
GCAGAUCUUUGACCUGAAGGGGAGAGCCGCCCAGCUGUGGGCAGGUUGGCUGAGGUCCCCGUGGGGAUGACGGCGCCGCAGAUAAGCCCCGUCCGAUCAGGGCCGCGGUGCUGGAAGUCACUGUGACGCUGAUCCCAGCGCCCGCAGCACACUGCAGGGUUCCCGUGUACAUAGCUCGUCUCGCUCUCGUAGGUCCGUCGUGGAGUUUUCCCUUAUUUCUAUACCUCAACCCCACCAUUUUGUUUUCCAGGAGAUUGGAUAAUGCUGCUAAUUUAUGUAACACCACUUUUGCCUGAAUUUCUUACUGUUGUUAAACCAGCUCACAUCACAACCAGAAAAACGAACAUGUACAUUUCUGAGGCGCUGGGGGCUGAGGACUAACCGUGGGCACUGCUGGAGCCCAAGCACAGAUGACGGUAUAGGCCAUUGCUUUCAGCUUUGCAGGAAGGUAGGGAGGAAAACGUGUACACACAGAGGCACACACUUACACCAAGGAUACACUAUUGUACACAGUUUAUGUCUCAGCGUUGCUGGUGGGAGGAGAAGGCUGCAGCAUGCUGGCUGUCCUGCACGUCCCCCCCUACAUGCCAGCCCUGGUGCGGCAGUGUGGCUGGGCUCUUGUGAGCAGGGCUUGAUAAGGAGGGGGUUCACUGCUUUGCAAGGAGAGGGGCUGGGGGCGGUGGGUGUGCCGGAUGGGGCUGUGCCUCUUCACAGCCCUCCUGAUGGCAGCACUGGGCUGCAUGGUGAUGGGGAGGGCUGUGAGAUGGCACAGUUGUCCAUUGCUUGCAGCCUCUCAGAAGGGAGCAGGGGAGGUUUGCAAGGAUGUUUACAUGUGAGAUUGGCCUUGCUGAAACAAGCAACCUAAAACAUGCACUUUAUCACACCCCCUUUUAUUUCCAGCACCCACCCCAGCCGCUAGCGCAGCUGCUCGUGGGCCCGGUGCCACCCGGGCAGAGCUGUGUGUGCCAUGGGGCAAAAUCCCAUAGCCCCUGCUCAGCCUGCCUCCAACCAGGCAUGGCAGGC